UCCUUAUCAAGAGUGACGGAGGGAACAGGCCCGAUGAUGUCCGACAACCUGCGCUUCGGGUGCAAGGUGCCAAUUCCUGCGGUAGAUGCCGAUAGAUGAGGU
RNAcentral lists this non-coding RNA (102 nucleotides) under Clostridiales bacterium. Its description in RNAcentral is "SAM". It matches the Rfam family "SAM riboswitch aptamer (S box leader)". From Rfam's summary of the family: The SAM riboswitch is found upstream of a number of genes which code for proteins involved in methionine or cysteine biosynthesis in Gram-positive bacteria. The SAM riboswitch acts at the level of transcription termination control. The predicted structure consists of a complex stem-loop region followed by a single stem loop terminator region. RNAcentral also lists the same sequence under 1 other name. Lineage: Bacteria; Bacillati; Bacillota; Clostridia; Eubacteriales. The record is from RNAcentral.